RNAcentral lists this ribosomal RNA (253 nucleotides) under uncultured bacterium. RNAcentral's name for it is "partial 16S ribosomal RNA". It matches the Rfam family "Bacterial small subunit ribosomal RNA", at positions 524 to 776 of the family's 1533-position model. The record is from RNAcentral.
UACAGAGGGUGCAAGCGUUACUCGGAAUUACUGGGCGUAAAGCGCAUGUAGGUGGAAUAAUAAGUUUGAUGUGAAAGCCCCAGGCUUAACCUGGGAACGGCGUUGAAGACUGUUAUUCUUGAGUUUGACAGAGGGUCGUGGAAUUUCCGGUGUAGCAGUGAAAUGCGUAGAUAUUGGGAGGAACACCAGUGGCGAAGGCGGCUCACUGGACCGGUACUGACGCUGAGGCGCGAAAGCGUGGGGAGCAAACAGG